Molecule: long non-coding RNA, 260 nt
Filed under: Gossypium barbadense (sea-island cotton)
Lineage: Eukaryota; Viridiplantae; Streptophyta; Magnoliopsida; Malvales; Malvaceae
Description: long non-coding RNA (GBAR_LNC006522)
Source: RNAcentral
GGUGUCACAUGCCCGUGUGGCUCGCGUCCAGCUUGUGUUUAUCGCUAAAUGAGAAAUCAACACACGGCCUGAGGACAUGCCCGUGUGUCUAAGCCGUGCGGUCAUAUGGUUGUAUCGUACGACCGUGCGUGAUGUGGUUCGCUUCUCCAAUGCCUAUGUAAAUAUGCGCACGCCCGUGUUCUUUUGACAGUCUCGACCACCGAUGGUGGGCACGAGCGUGUCGAACGCCUAUGUUCAUUUGGCAGAAUUGCCCAUGGCCA